RNAcentral lists this ribosomal RNA (668 nucleotides) under Syngnathus fuscus (northern pipefish). Its description in RNAcentral is "partial 12S ribosomal RNA". It matches the Rfam family "Bacterial small subunit ribosomal RNA", at positions 513 to 1502 of the family's 1533-position model. The record is from RNAcentral. Lineage: Eukaryota; Metazoa; Chordata; Actinopteri; Syngnathiformes; Syngnathidae.
CACCGCGGUUAUACGAGAGGCCCAAGCUGACAGAAGCCGGCGUAAAGAGUGGUUAGGCAGUCCUAAAACUAAAGCCAAACAUUUUCCAAGCUGUUAUACGCAUCCGAAACUAUGAAAAUCUUCUACGAAAGUGGCUUUAUUAUCCUGACUCCACGAAAGUUAUGAAACAAACUGGGAUUAGAUACCCCACUAUGCAUAACUGUAAACACAGAUAGCAACUUACUCGCAAUCCGCCAGGGAACUACAAGCACUGGCUUGAAACCCAAAGGACUUGGCGGUGCUUUAGACCCACCUAGAGGAGCCUGUUCUAGAACUGAUAACCCCCGUUUAACCUCACCCUGUUUUGUCAUACCCGCCUAUAUACCGCCGUCGUCAGCUUACCUUGUGAGAGAUUAUAAGUGAGCAAGAUUGGUACAACCCAAAACGUCAGGUCGAGGUGUAGUGUAUAGCAGGGGAAGAAAUGGGCUACAUUUACCCAUCGGUAAAUACGAAUGAUUUAUUGAAAAGUAAAACUGAAGGAGGAUUUAGCAGUAAGAAGAAAAUAGAGCGUUCUUCUGAAACAGGCUCUGAAGCGCGCACACACCGCCCGUCACUCUCCCCUAAUGCCUCAUAAAAUUAAGUAAAACAUCUGAAAAAUUAAGGGGAGGCAAGUCGUAACAUGGUAAGUG